RNAcentral lists this non-coding RNA (29 nucleotides) under Rattus norvegicus (Norway rat). Lineage: Eukaryota; Metazoa; Chordata; Mammalia; Rodentia; Muridae. The record is from RNAcentral.
UAGAAGAGGCUAAUGAUUAUAGCAUGGUA